RNAcentral lists this ribosomal RNA (2110 nucleotides) under Salmonella enterica subsp. enterica serovar Virchow. RNAcentral's name for it is "partial 23S ribosomal RNA". It matches the Rfam family "Bacterial large subunit ribosomal RNA", at positions 711 to 2802 of the family's 2925-position model. Lineage: Bacteria; Pseudomonadati; Pseudomonadota; Gammaproteobacteria; Enterobacterales; Enterobacteriaceae. The record is from RNAcentral.
AGACCCGAAACCCGGUGAUCUAGCCAUGGGCAGGUUGAAGGUUGGGUAACACUAACUGGAGGACCGAACCGACUAAUGUUGAAAAAUUAGCGGAUGACCUGUGGCUGGGGGUGAAAGGCCAAUCAAACCGGGAGAUAGCUGGUUCUCCCCGAAAGCUAUUUAGGUAGCGCCUCGUGAAUUCAUCUCCGGGGGUAGAGCACUGUUUCGGCUAGGGGGCCAUCCCGGCUUACCAACCCGAUGCAAACUGCGAAUACCGGAGAAUGUUAUCACGGGAGACACACGGCGGGUGCUAACGUCCGUCGUGAAGAGGGAAACAACCCAGACCGCCAGCUAAGGUCCCAAAGUCAUGGUUAAGUGGGAAACGAUGUGGGAAGGCCCAGACAGCCAGGAUGUUGGCUUAGAAGCAGCCAUCAUUUAAAGAAAGCGUAAUAGCUCACUGGUCGAGUCGGCCUGCGCGGAAGAUGUAACGGGGCUAAACCAUGCACCGAAGCUGCGGCAGCGACACUGUGUGUUGUUGGGUAGGGGAGCGUUCUGUAAGCCUGUGAAGGUGGCCUGUGAGGGUUGCUGGAGGUAUCAGAAGUGCGAAUGCUGACAUAAGUAACGAUAAAGCGGGUGAAAAGCCCGCUCGCCGGAAGACCAAGGGUUCCUGUCCAACGUUAAUCGGGGCAGGGUGAGUCGACCCCUAAGGCGAGGCCGAAAGGCGUAGUCGAUGGGAAACGGGUUAAUAUUCCCGUACUUGGUGUUACUGCGAAGGGGGGACGGAGAAGGCUAUGUUGGCCGGGCGACGGUUGUCCCGGUUUAAGCGUGUAGGUGUGUGUUCCAGGUAAAUCCGGUUCACUUUAACACUGAGGCGUGACGACGAGGCACUACGGUGCUGAAGCAACAAAUGCCCUGCUUCCAGGAAAAGCCUCUAAGCAUCAGGUAACAUCAAAUCGUACCCCAAACCGACACAGGUGGUCAGGUAGAGAAUACCAAGGCGCUUGAGAGAACUCGGGUGAAGGAACUAGGCAAAAUGGUGCCGUAACUUCGGGAGAAGGCACGCUGACACGUAGGUGAAGUGAUUUACUCACGGAGCUGAAGUCAGUCGAAGAUACCAGCUGGCUGCAACUGUUUAUUAAAAACACAGCACUGUGCAAACACGAAAGUGGACGUAUACGGUGUGACGCCUGCCCGGUGCCGGAAGGUUAAUUGAUGGGGUCAGCGCAAGCGAAGCUCCUGAUCGAAGCCCCGGUAAACGGCGGCCGUAACUAUAACGGUCCUAAGGUAGCGAAAUUCCUUGUCGGGUAAGUUCCGACCUGCACGAAUGGCGUAAUGAUGGCCAGGCUGUCUCCACCCGAGACUCAGUGAAAUUGAACUCGCUGUGAAGAUGCAGUGUACCCGCGGCAAGACGGAAAGACCCCGUGAACCUUUACUAUAGCUUGACACUGAACAUUGAGCCUUGAUGUGUAGGAUAGGUGGGAGGCUUUGAAGUGUGGACGCCAGUCUGCAUGGAGCCGACCUUGAAAUACCACCCUUUAAUGUUUGAUGUUCUAACGUGGACCCGUAAUCCGGGUUGCGGACAGUGUCUGGUGGGUAGUUUGACUGGGGCGGUCUCCUCCUAAAGAGUAACGGAGGAGCACGAAGGUUGGCUAAUCCUGGUCGGACAUCAGGAGGUUAGUGCAAUGGCAUAAGCCAGCUUGACUGCGAGCGUGACGGCGCGAGCAGGUGCGAAAGCAGGUCAUAGUGAUCCGGUGGUUCUGAAUGGAAGGGCCAUCGCUCAACGGAUAAAAGGUACUCCGGGGAUAACAGGCUGAUACCGCCCAAGAGUUCAUAUCGACGGCGGUGUUUGGCACCUCGAUGUCGGCUCAUCACAUCCUGGGGCUGAAGUAGGUCCCAAGGGUAUGGCUGUUCGCCAUUUAAAGUGGUACGCGAGCUGGGUUUAGAACGUCGUGAGACAGUUCGGUCCCUAUCUGCCGUGGGCGCUGGAGAACUGAGGGGGGCUGCUCCUAGUACGAGAGGACCGGAGUGGACGCAUCACUGGUGUUCGGGUUGUCAUGCCAAUGGCACUGCCCGGUAGCUAAAUGCGGAAGAGAUAAGUGCUGAAAGCAUCUAAGCACGAAACUUGCCCCGA